UACGGGGGGGGGCAAGCGUUGUUCGGAAUUACUGGGCGUAAAGGGCUCGUAGGUGGCCAACUAAGUCAGACGUGAAAUCCCCAGGCUCAACUUGGGAACUGCGUCUGAUACUGGAUGGCUUGAAUUCGGGAGAGGGAUGCAGAAUUCCAGGUGUAGCGGUGAAAUGCGUAGAUAUUCGCAAGAACACCAGUGGCGAAGGCGGCUCACUGGCCCGAUACUGACGCUGAGGCACGAAAGCGUGGGGAGCAAACAGGG
This 255-nucleotide ribosomal RNA is filed under the name uncultured bacterium. RNAcentral describes it as "partial 16S ribosomal RNA". It matches the Rfam family "Bacterial small subunit ribosomal RNA", at positions 524 to 777 of the family's 1533-position model. The record is from RNAcentral.